This 253-nucleotide ribosomal RNA is filed under the name uncultured bacterium. RNAcentral's name for it is "partial 16S ribosomal RNA". It matches the Rfam family "Bacterial small subunit ribosomal RNA", at positions 524 to 776 of the family's 1533-position model. The record is from RNAcentral.
GACGGAGGGUGCAAGCGUUGUUCGGAUUGACUGGGCGUAAAGGGCGUGUAGGCGGUUUGUCAAGUCGGGUGUGAAAGCCCGGGGCUUACCCCCGGAAGUGCAUUGGAAACUGGGAGGCUUGAGUACCGGAGAGGAGGGUGGAAUUCCUGGUGUAGCGGUGAAAUGCGUAGAUAUCAGGAGGAACACCGGUGGCGAAGGCGGCCCUCUGGACGGAUACUGACGCUGAGACGCGAAAGCGUGGGGAGCAAACAGG